This is a small nuclear RNA of Ailuropoda melanoleuca (giant panda), 102 nucleotides long. The record is from Ensembl. NCBI's taxonomy places the organism in Eukaryota, Metazoa, Chordata, Mammalia, Carnivora, Ursidae.
UUGCUGGCUUUGGCAACACAUACACUAAAACUGGAAUGAUACAGAGAAGACGGGCAUGGUCCCUGCACAAGGAGGAUGCAUACAUUCGUGUAAAUUAAUUUC